This is a non-coding RNA of Podarcis lilfordi (Lilford's wall lizard), 83 nucleotides long. NCBI's taxonomy places the organism in Eukaryota, Metazoa, Chordata, Lepidosauria, Squamata, Lacertidae. The record is from the annotation of a GenBank genome assembly.
AUCCAAUUCAACUCAGUACAUAACAUGGUCAAAGCACGAGACUCUUAAUCUCAGGGUCAUGGCUUUGAGCCCUAUAUUGGGCA